This 651-nucleotide ribosomal RNA is filed under the name Pseudomonas aeruginosa. Its description in RNAcentral is "bacterial SSU rRNA". It matches the Rfam family "Bacterial small subunit ribosomal RNA", at positions 94 to 741 of the family's 1533-position model. The record is from RNAcentral. Lineage: Bacteria; Pseudomonadati; Pseudomonadota; Gammaproteobacteria; Pseudomonadales; Pseudomonadaceae.
AGCGGCGGACGGGUGAGUAAUGCCUAGGAAUCUGCCUGGUAGUGGGGGAUAACGUCCGGAAACGGGCGCUAAUACCGCAUACGUCCUGAGGGAGAAAGUGGGGGAUCUUCGGACCUCACGCUAUCAGAUGAGCCUAGGUCGGAUUAGCUAGUUGGUGGGGUAAAGGCCUACCAAGGCGACGAUCCGUAACUGGUCUGAGAGGAUGAUCAGUCACACUGGAACUGAGACACGGUCCAGACUCCUACGGGAGGCAGCAGUGGGGAAUAUUGGACAAUGGGCGAAAGCCUGAUCCAGCCAUGCCGCGUGUGUGAAGAAGGUCUUCGGAUUGUAAAGCACUUUAAGUUGGGAGGAAGGGCAGUAAGUUAAUACCUUGCUGUUUUGACGUUACCAACAGAAUAAGCACCGGCUAACUUCGUGCCAGCAGCCGCGGUAAUACGAAGGGUGCAAGCGUUAAUCGGAAUUACUGGGCGUAAAGCGCGCGUAGGUGGUUCAGCAAGUUGGAUGUGAAAUCCCCGGGCUCAACCUGGGAACUGCAUCCAAAACUACUGAGCUAGAGUACGGUAGAGGGUGGUGGAAUUUCCUGUGUAGCGGUGAAAUGCGUAGAUAUAGGAAGGAACACCAGUGGCGAAGGCGACCACCUGGACUGAUACU